CUAGUCACCGCACUUUGCCGUGUUUCUUUCAAUAUAAUAGUUUUGCUGCUACACAAACUCUGCUACCUGCUCAGACCUCUGCUCAGAAGCGCGCGUUUCUCUGUCCACUGGCGCUCGGCUUCUCUAUCUGCGCAAGCUGGAGUGACGACGUGAGGCGGGCGGGGAAGUCAUGCUGUAGAGGUGAAAUACGUCGUGGGAAAGAAGUUUGCGGUGCACGUGCGUAGAACCAUGCAGGCACAACACACCGGUGUGAGACAGCUGCUGAUGCUGAUCGUCUGUCUCUCCAUUUUCGCCUCAGGAGUUCUCGCAGGCGGGAAGAAGCAGAGCGGCCCGUGUGGAGGAAGAGACUGCAGCGGAGGAUGUCAGUGCUUCCCAGAGAAGGGUG
Molecule: long non-coding RNA, 385 nt
Organism: Boleophthalmus pectinirostris (great blue-spotted mudskipper)
Lineage: Eukaryota; Metazoa; Chordata; Actinopteri; Gobiiformes; Gobiidae
Exons: 4
Source: RefSeq, a predicted model, not a curated record